GACGAACGCUGGCGGCGUGCUUAAUACAUGCAAGUCGAGCGGAAAGGCCCUGAGUUUGCUGUGUGCUCGAGUGGGGAACGCGUGAGUAACACGUGUGUAACCUGCCCUUGAAAUAGUGAUAACUUCAGGAAACUGGGGCUAAUACCGGAUAGGAGCUUCUGAUGCGUGGGGGUGGUUGGAAAAAUUCGGCGGUUGUGGCUGGACUCGCUGCUUAUCCGCUUGUUUGUGUGGUAGGGGCUGACCAAGGCUUUGACGGAUAGCCGGCAUGAGAGGGGGAACGGCCACAUUGGGACUGCGAGACGGCGCAGAAGGCUAUGUGAGGCAGCAGUGGGGAAUAUUGCAGAAUGGGCGGAAGUCUGAUGUAGAGACGUUGCGUGCGUAAUAAUGUGUUUUGAGUUAUAAACAUAUUUGGAAUGUGCCGAGGAGUGAGUGACGGUAAUGGGUAAAGAAGCAACGGCUAACUACGUG
Molecule: ribosomal RNA, 468 nt
Filed under: uncultured bacterium
Lineage: Bacteria
Description: partial 16S ribosomal RNA
Rfam family: Bacterial small subunit ribosomal RNA
Source: RNAcentral